RNAcentral lists this unclassified non-coding RNA (326 nucleotides) under soil metagenome. RNAcentral's name for it is "partial contains 5.8S ribosomal RNA, internal transcribed spacer 2, and large subunit ribosomal RNA". The stretch from base 1 to 120 matches the Rfam family "5.8S ribosomal RNA", at positions 35 to 154 of the family's 154-position model. The record is from RNAcentral.
GAUGAAGAACGCAGCGAAAUGCGAUAAGUAAUGUGAAUUGCAGAAUUCAGUGAAUCAUCGAAUCUUUGAACGCACAUUGCGCCCAUUGGUAUUCCGAGGGGCAUGCCUGUUCGAGCGUCAUAUUAACCACUCCCGCUUGCGGGGUCUUGGGCUUCGCCUCCGGGCGGGCCUUAAAAUCAGUGGCGGUGCCGUCGGGCUCUACGCGUAGUAAAUUUUCUCGCGAUAGGGUCCCGGUGGAUGCUUGCCAACAUCCCCCAACUUCUUAAGGUUGACCUCGGAUCAGGUAGGGAUACCCGCUGAACUUAAGCAUAUCAAUAAGCGGAGGA